This 885-nucleotide ribosomal RNA is filed under the name Phyllochaetopterus sp. AW-2015. RNAcentral's name for it is "small subunit ribosomal RNA". The record is from RNAcentral. Lineage: Eukaryota; Metazoa; Annelida; Polychaeta; Chaetopteridae.
UCACGUUUGAUCCUAGCGAACCAUUUAGCUACCCCAUAGUGUAAAUUAUAUAAAAGUUUCCGCAAACCAGUAGAUACCCGCUCUUUCUUGCCUACUUCCUAAAAGGAAGUAUUUCCUGAUCGAACAUACAGCCUUAGACAACAUCAAUAAUGCUUAAUCAACUUUACAAUUAAUAUAGAAUUCUGACAAAAUUUACGCCAGUAAAACACGGGUAUUGGUAACCAGGGCCGGGCAAAUGGGUGCCAGCAGCCGCGGUUAAACCCUAGGCCCAAGUUAAAUCACUCGGUAAAAAGAUGGCCAAUUAAUAGAUAGAUAAAAAUUUAAGCUAACGAAGUUAAAUUCGAAGCCCAGAAUGAGCCAAAAUUAUCACCACCACCAGCCAUGAAAACUUAAACCAAAACUGGGAUUUGGUACCCCACUAUUCUAAGUCGUAAAUCCAAUUUCAUACCAGGGUACUACAAACCAUCUUGUUUGAAACCUAAAGGACUUGGCGGCGCUUCAUAUUAGUUCAGGGGAGCCUGUGUCAUAAACCGAUGAUCCGCGUUAAACCAUACUUAAUCCUUUGCACUCUCAGCUUGUUUACUUCCGUCGUCAGCUUACCUUUCAAGAGUCCAAAAUUACCACCCCGCAUAAAGGGCGGCUUGACUACCCUCUACGACAGGUCGCUGUACAGCCAACUAGGAGAGAGAUUAUGGGCUACAAUCACCAUUUCUGCACCGAAUUAUUGCUGAAAUACCAAUAUGAAGAUGAACUUGAUAGUAAGACUAGUUUAUAAUACUAGCCUGAAUAUUACUGUGUUUCGUGUACAAAUCGCCCGUCGCUCCCGCCGAGAGGUGGGAUAAGUCGUAACAUAGUUGGUGUAGGGGAAUCUGCACCUAAAGUACC